GACGAACGCUGGCGGCGUGCUUAACACAUGCAAGUCGAACGGAGUCUCUUAGACAGAAGCCUUCGGGUGGAAGACUUUGAGACUUAGUGGCGGACGGGUGAGUAACACGUGGGUAACCUGCCCCAUAAACCGGGACAACAGUUGGAAACGACUGCUAAUACCGGAUACUCUCAUUGGAAGGCAUCUUCUGGUGAGGAAAGGUGGCCUCUGAACAUGCUACCGAUAUGGGAUGGACCCGCGUCUGAUUAGCUAGUUGGUGGGGUAACGGCCUACCAAGGCGACGAUCAGUAGCCGGCCUGAGAGGGUGACCGGCCACAUUGGGACUGAGACACGGCCCAA
RNAcentral lists this ribosomal RNA (339 nucleotides) under uncultured bacterium. Its description in RNAcentral is "bacterial SSU rRNA". It matches the Rfam family "Bacterial small subunit ribosomal RNA", at positions 28 to 334 of the family's 1533-position model. The record is from RNAcentral.